Hipposideros armiger (great roundleaf bat) is the source of this 616-nucleotide long non-coding RNA. RefSeq lists it as uncharacterized. NCBI's taxonomy places the organism in Eukaryota, Metazoa, Chordata, Mammalia, Chiroptera, Hipposideridae. The transcript has 3 exons. The record is from RefSeq and is a predicted model, not a curated record.
AGAGGGUGAAGCGAUCUCCGAGGCUAAUUCUUAUAUAGUCCUCGCUCCGCCGUACUUGGAAUUUCUGAACCCUGUAUUGAGAGGGAUGCAUUCCCUUUCAUGACAACUGGGGAGAGAAGAUGUGAAGUUGCCGAACAAAAAUUAUCUUUAUUCCUACCCACCUCUUCCAUAUAUCUGAACUCAGAACAGCUCAACAUGGACCAAAAUACAAGAGUUCCAACUUCACAUUUCACCCCUUGAACAGAAGUAUAUUUAAAAGGGGAAAGAUUAAGAACCCUCCAGACUUAUGUUGCCUGGAUUGGUUAUAAAGGAGAAAAACAGAAUUGCAACAGAAUAAGCACAAGAGGCUCUUCCCAGACACAAUACCAUAGUCUUGAUCAUGACAGAAAUGGAAAGUCUCUUCAUGUAGCUGCAGAAGACGUGCGUUCCUUUGCUGAAGUCUCAUUUUUCUCUUUGCCACUUCAGGCAGGUGAAACUAAUCACUUUAGAAUUCUUAACAUGAAAUUGUUCGUACUGAGUAUGUUUAUUGCAAACUGUGGAAGCCCACGAGAUAUUGUGUAGGAUAUUUUCAAUAGUAAUGCAAAAAAAAAAUCUUGAAAUUUCCAGAGAGGGUAUA